MUCAUUGGAUUGAGCCUUGGUAUGGAAACAUACGAAGUGACAACUUUCAAAUUCAGAGAAACCCUGGAAUUAAAGAUGGGGCAAUCCUGAGCCAAAUCCUGUUUUACGAAAACCGACAGCAGCGAGAAUACAAAAAGAAUAGGAUAGGUGCAGAGACUCGAUGGGAGAUGUUCUAACAAAUAGAGUUGGCCGCGUUGAGUUGGUAAAGGAAUCCUUCUAUCGAAACUCAAAAAAAGAAAAAAUAGGGGGGAACCCAUAUACAUAGAUAUAUGUACUGAACGCUAUACAAACUGGAUUAAUGACGCCGCGAGCUAUAUUGAUGAUUAUAUGCAAAAUGAAAGAAUUCUUGUGAUGUGAAUCGAUUGUACUAACUGGCAGAAAGUAUCGAAUCUUCAUUGAUUACAUCAUUUAUAAAUCAAUUUACUCCAGGAUCUGAGAAAUCUUUUGAAAAAAGGGAUUAAUCGGCCGAGAAUAAAGAUAGAGUCCCAUUCUACAUGUCAAUAGUGCAACAAUGAAAUUUAAAGUAAGAGGAAAAUCCGUCGACUUUAGAAAUCGUGAGGGUUCAAGUCCCUCUAUCCCCAAAAAAACAUUUGACUCGUUAAUGCUUUAUCCUAUUUUUUUUUCUUUUUUUUUAUAUUUGAUAUAAGGAUAUCAUCCUUAUUCGUUUUUUUCUUUCACAAAGUUAUGUACCCGAGUGUAUAUUUUUUUGUAUUAACCCAAGUUGGGUUUGGUGUUAUAUAAGGUACACACAAAGUAAGAUCAAUUCAUUUUUGAAUUGACAUAGGACGAAGUCAUAUCAUARAAUGAAGAUGAUAUAUUAACUAAAAUAAUAGUCGGGAUAGCUCAGCUGGUAG
RNAcentral lists this unclassified non-coding RNA (854 nucleotides) under Adelobotrys sp. Ruokolainen 10732. Its description in RNAcentral is "contains tRNA-Leu gene, trnL-trnF spacer, and tRNA-Phe gene". The stretch from base 1 to 507 matches the Rfam family "Group I catalytic intron". From Rfam's summary of the family: Group I catalytic introns are large self-splicing ribozymes. The record is from RNAcentral. Lineage: Eukaryota; Viridiplantae; Streptophyta; Magnoliopsida; Myrtales; Melastomataceae.